CUGGAUCAAUGAGACUAGAUAUUCAAAGAGAUAGAGAAGAUGAAAAGUGAUCACCUCAAGGGUAGCAAGAAUAAGAGAUUUAUAAUUGUCUGAAGAUGGCCUAAAAUCACCAUGGGCCUUUUAUGGAAACAUAGCUAUGCUUCUCACCUUUUUGCAAACAACUGCUUCAUCAUGAGACACCUUAGAAGGUGCCCCAAAGCUUUCAGGUCAAGCCACAGUGAAAUCUCUGCUGCAUAGUUGGUCACAUGGAGGACAUCUUCAGGGCUUCCUCUUGGACUCUUCAAAUUCUUCUACCACCUGGGGCAUUUUGAGCAGUGGGGAAAAAGGAAACUAAAUUUAUAUUCCUCCUUAGACGCUUCCUGAAGAAAAGGAAAAAUAAAUAAAUACUGGAAAAUG
Homo sapiens (human) is the source of this 396-nucleotide long non-coding RNA. The record is from Ensembl. NCBI's taxonomy places the organism in Eukaryota, Metazoa, Chordata, Mammalia, Primates, Hominidae.